ACCCCGGCAGCACCCCGGGAACCCCGGCAGCACCCCAGGAGCCCCGGCAGCACCCCAGGAGCCCCGGUACGCAACCCUCCCCCGGGAACCCCGGCAGCACCCCGGGAGCCCCGGCAGCACCCCGGGAGCCCCGGCAGCACC
Molecule: long non-coding RNA, 141 nt
Filed under: Human gammaherpesvirus 8
Lineage: Duplodnaviria; Heunggongvirae; Peploviricota; Herviviricetes; Herpesvirales; Orthoherpesviridae
Description: partial non-coding RNA
Source: RNAcentral